UCGAAGAUCCCCGUACUGGUGGCGCCAUC
This 29-nucleotide small RNA is filed under the name Bombyx mori (domestic silkworm). RNAcentral describes it as "ovarian small RNA-28186". The record is from RNAcentral. Lineage: Eukaryota; Metazoa; Arthropoda; Insecta; Lepidoptera; Bombycidae.